AUUGAACGCUGGCGGCAUGCCUUACACAUGCAAGUCGAACGGCAGCACGGGGCAACCUGGUGGCGAGUGGCGAACGGGUGAGUAAUGCAUCGGAACGUACCUUUCAGUGGGGGACAACGUAGCGAAAGUUACGCUAAUACCGCAUAUUCUGUGAGCAGGAAAGCAGGGGAUCGCAAGACCUUGCGCUGAUUGAGCGGCCGAUGUCAGAUUAGCUAGUUGGUGAGGUAAAGGCUCACCAAGGAGACGAUCUGUAGCGGGUCUGAGAGGAUGAUUCGCCACACUGGAACUGAGACACGGUCCAGACUCCUACGGGAGGCAGCAGUGGGGAAUUUUGGACAAUGGGGGCAACCCUGAUCCAGCCAUGCCGCGUGAGUGAAGAAGGCCUUCGGGUUGUAAAGCUCUUUCGGCCGGGAAGAAAUCGCACGGGCUAAUACCCUGUGUGGAUGACGGUACCGGAAUAAGAAGCACCGGCUAACUACGUGCCAGCAGCCGCAGUAA
RNAcentral lists this ribosomal RNA (498 nucleotides) under uncultured bacterium. RNAcentral describes it as "partial 16S ribosomal RNA". It matches the Rfam family "Bacterial small subunit ribosomal RNA", at positions 30 to 523 of the family's 1533-position model. The record is from RNAcentral.